AUGAACACAUCACGAGCAAAGAGACAAUUCAGAUAUGAGAAUGUGUGGUCAUCGCAUGUGGACUAUGACCGUAUUGUUACUGCUGCGUGGCGAGAGGCAAAUAGAGGACCGGGCCUCCAAGGUAUCGCGGACUCACUGAAUCAUCUCAAGGCAACACUUGAACCGUGGGGGACUCGUGAGUUUGGCUGCUUAACUCACCGAGUCAGACAGUUGCAGAAAAGACUCGAUAAUUUACGGAGUCGUUCGGUGGGUCGAGGGCCAACUGAGGAGGAAAAAACAGUGGCACGACAGCUGCGCAAGGCCCUCCACCAGGAGGAGAUCUGGCUAUGGCAGAGGUCCCAUGUGCCCUGGCUGAGAGACGGCAAUCGCAGCACUGCAUAUUUUCAAGCUCAGGCGGCACAAAGAAAACAUAUUAACAUAAUACAAGGUUUAUGUCGUGCGGAUGGCUCGGUUUGCGCAAAUGAAGAGGAAGAUAAGAGCGAGGUUUAG
This 489-nucleotide ribosomal RNA is filed under the name Triticum aestivum (bread wheat). RNAcentral describes it as "partial small subunit ribosomal RNA". The record is from RNAcentral. Lineage: Eukaryota; Viridiplantae; Streptophyta; Magnoliopsida; Poales; Poaceae.